GGUUAAGCGACUAAGCGUACACGGUGGAUGCCCUGGCAGUCAGAGGCGAUGAAGGACGUGCUAAUCUGCGAAAAGCGUCGGUAAGGUGAUAUGAACCGUUAUAACCGGCGAUGUCCGAAUGGGGAAACCCAGUGCAAUUCGUUGCACUAUCGUUAACUGAAUACAUAGGUUAACGAGGCGAACCGGGGGAACUGAAACAUCUAAGUACCCCGAGGAAAAGAAAUCAACCGAGAUUCCCCCAGUAGCGGCGAGCGAACGGGGAGCAGCCCAGAGUCUGAAUCAGCUUGUGUGUUAGUGGAACGGUCUGGAAAGUCCGACGGUACAGGGUGAUAGUCCCGUACACCAAAAUGCACAGGCUGUGAACUCGAAGAGUAGGGCGGGACACGUGGUAUCCUGUCUGAAUAUGGGGGGACCAUCCUCCAAGGCUAAAUACUCCUGACUGACCGAUAGUGAACCAGUACCGUGAGGGAAAGGCGAAAAGAACCCCGGCGAGGGGAGUGAAAAAGAACCUGAAACCGUGUACGUACAAGCAGUGGGAGCACCUUCGGGUGUGACUGCGUACCUUUUGUAUAAUGGGUCAGCGACUUAUAUUCUGUAGCAAGGUUAACCGUAUAGGGGAGCCGCAGGGAAACCGAGUCUUAACUGGGCGUUAAGUUGCAGGGUAUAGACCCGAAACCCGGUGAUCUAGCCAUGGGCAGGUUGAAGGUUGGGUAACACUAACUGGAGGACCGAACCGACUAAUGUUGAAAAAUUAGCGGAUGACUUGUGGCUGGGGGUGAAAGGCCAAUCAAACCGGGAGAUAGCUGGUUCUCCCCGAAAGCUAUUUAGGUAGCGCCUCGUGAACUCAUCUUCGGGGGUAGAGCACUGUUUCGGCUAGGGGGUCAUCCCGACUUACCAACCCGAUGCAAACUACGAAUACCGAAGAAUGUUAUCACGGGAGACACACGGCGGGUGCUAACGUCCGUCGUGAAGAGGGAAACAACCCAGACCGCCAGCUAAGGUCCCAAAGUCAUGGUUAAGUGGGAAACGAUGUGGGAAGGCACAGACAGCCAGGAUGUUGGCUUAGAAGCAGCCAUCAUUUAAAGAAAGCGUAAUAGCUCACUGGUCGAGUCGGCCUGCGCGGAAGAUGUAACGGGGCUAAACCAUGCACCGAAGCUGCGGCAGCGA
Molecule: ribosomal RNA, 1167 nt
Filed under: Klebsiella pneumoniae
Lineage: Bacteria; Pseudomonadati; Pseudomonadota; Gammaproteobacteria; Enterobacterales; Enterobacteriaceae
Description: partial 23S ribosomal RNA
Rfam family: Bacterial large subunit ribosomal RNA
Source: RNAcentral